This 443-nucleotide ribosomal RNA is filed under the name uncultured bacterium. RNAcentral's name for it is "partial 16S ribosomal RNA". It matches the Rfam family "Bacterial small subunit ribosomal RNA", at positions 338 to 795 of the family's 1533-position model. The record is from RNAcentral.
CCUACGGGUGGCAGCAGUGGGGAAUAUUGGGCAAUGGAGGAAACUCUGACCCAGCAACGCCGCGUGAAUGAUGAAGGUCUUCGGAUUGUAAAGUUCUUUUCUAAGGGAAGAAGAAAGUGCCGGUACCUUAGGAAUAAGCCUCGGCUAACUACGUGCCAGCAGCCGCGGUAAUACGUAGGAGGCGAGCGUUAUCCGGAAUGACUGGGCGUAAAGGGUGCGUAGGUGGUUUGGCAAGUUAGUAGCGUAACUCCAAGGCUCAACCUGUGGCCUGCAUUUGAAACUGUAGUUCUUGAGUACUGGAGAGGCAGACGGAAUUCCUAGUGUAGCGGUGAAAUGCGUAGAUAUUAGGAGGAACACCAGUGGCGAAGGCGGUCUGCUGGACAGCAACUGACGCUGAGGCGCGAAAGCGUGGGGAGCAAACAGGAUUAGAUACCCUGGUAGUC